This 74-nucleotide ribosomal RNA is filed under the name uncultured bacterium. RNAcentral describes it as "partial 16S ribosomal RNA". The record is from RNAcentral.
AGGGCUUGACAUAUCGACGAAAGAUUUAGAGAUAAAUCCCCUCUUCGGAGCGUUGAUACAGGUGGUGCAUGGUU